AGCGAACGCUGGCGGCAGGCUUAACACAUGCAAGUCGAGCGGGCACUUUCGGGUGUCAGCGGCGGCCGGGUGAGUAACGCGUGGGAACGUGCCCUCUGGUUCGGAAUAACUCAGGGAAACUUGAGCUAAUACCGGAUACGCCCUCUUGGGGAAAGGCUAGGUGCCGGGGGAUCGGCUCGCGUCUGUUUAGCUUGUUGGUGGGGUAGUGGCUCACCAAGGCGACGAUGGGUAGAUGGACUGAGAGGGUGAUUGGCCACACUGUGCCUGAGAUAGGGCCCAGACCCCGACGGGAGGGAGCAGUGGGGAAGGGUGAAUUAGGGGAGGAGGCCUGAUGCAGAAACGCCGAGUGCGGGAGGAUGGCAAUGGGGUUGGGAUUGGAAAGCGCUUUUGACGAAGAGUGAGUGACGGGAACGGGUAAAGAAGCACCGGCUAAAUUCGUG
This 440-nucleotide ribosomal RNA is filed under the name uncultured bacterium. RNAcentral describes it as "partial 16S ribosomal RNA". It matches the Rfam family "Bacterial small subunit ribosomal RNA", at positions 30 to 507 of the family's 1533-position model. The record is from RNAcentral.